UACGGGGGGAGCAAGCGUUGUUCGGAUUUACUGGGCGUAAAGGGCGCGUAGGCGGCCUCCGCAAGUCAGUUGUGAAAUCUCCGAGCUUAACUCGGAAAGGUCAACUGAUACUGCGGGGCUAGAGUGCGGAAGGGGCAACUGGAAUUCUUGGUGUAGCGGUGAAAUUCGUAGAUAUCGGGAGGAACACCUGUGGCGAAAGCGGCUCACUGGACCAUUACUGACGCUGAUGCACGAAAGCUAGGGGAGCAAACAGG
RNAcentral lists this ribosomal RNA (254 nucleotides) under uncultured bacterium. RNAcentral describes it as "partial 16S ribosomal RNA". It matches the Rfam family "Bacterial small subunit ribosomal RNA", at positions 524 to 776 of the family's 1533-position model. The record is from RNAcentral.